RNAcentral lists this long non-coding RNA (1061 nucleotides) under Homo sapiens (human). RNAcentral describes it as "HSALNT0324755". Lineage: Eukaryota; Metazoa; Chordata; Mammalia; Primates; Hominidae. The record is from RNAcentral.
CCCAACCACAGGGCAGGCGGAAGCAAAGGUAGAAGCUGAACUCCAAUCUAGGGGAGUCCUACCCCUUAACGCAGCUGUGCCGGAGCGGAAUGUUGGAAAGUGCCUUGAGUCCCUGGAUUUUAGGCCCUUGUCCUCUGUCGUCUACAUCAGACCUGCCUCGUCCCAUCCAAGCCGAUCACCUUCUGAGAGGACCUGGCCCCCGAGCUCAGGAGCACCCCAGCUCUCAGGACACAGCCCCUCGUGGUGGGACAGCGCCUGCACCUGCAGCCCUGUAGCCCCUGCACAAGGAAUUUGUUGAGGGAAUUUGUAUUUUCUGCUGCUUUCUCCUUGAACCUAUUUGCAUUUUAAAUAAUUAAAACAUUAAAGCUGAAAAAUUUAUAAAUGAGAGUGCUAAGAGAAUCCUGCCUGGCAGACGGUAGAGAAAAAAUCAUUGCCCUGUUAGGUUUGCGCCAGUGUCCUGUCUGUCAUUCUCCCCAAGGUGCGUCCACUGCUGUGGCUCGGGCCUCAGGCAGCUCUCUGGUGCACACACACAGUGCAAUGGUGCACACACACACAGCAUCACAGCAGACAAACUCACACGCAUGGCCAAAGAUGCCCCCACCCAGCGUCGUACACAAGCACAUCCUUCCUCCUCCACACCCACCUCUCUCGAGACCCUGCCGUCUACCCCCUGACGCUUCAGGACUCUAUGGAGGAAGACUUUGAUCUCAUUAUUGGAACAACCUAGAUGGAAUCUCAUCGGUCCUCAAUAACCCUGUUUUCCCUUUCCCACUCCGUUUACUUUUCCUCUAAAAGUUCACUUGGAGGAAGGGAAGGGUGGCGAGGGUGGUGGGAGCGGCGGGCGGCGGGGAGUGACAGGCGCUUGGUCCGGCGCGGCUUUGCCUGGUUGUAACAAGCGUCGGGACAUGCGGAGCCACAGAAGCCGGGCUGGCCACAUCAUCAAUCACGGCGCUGACAGCCGCCUUCAGUUUGUUUGUUCCACUUUGCAUAAUAAGUGAUCGGAUCAGGUUUAAUUAGAUAUUGGGUAAUCAAUCAUUGCCAACGAGGCAACUCAGCUUGGG